AGAGUUUGAUCAUGGCUCAGAAUCAACGCUGGCGGCGCGCCUAACACAUGCAAGUCGAACGAGAAAGCCGCAAGGCAAGUAAAGUGGCGUACGGGUGAGUAACACGUGGAUGAUCUACCUUUUAGUGGGGAAUACCGUUGGGAAACCGACGACAAUACCGCAUAAGCCCGAGAGGGGAAAGCAGCAAUGCGCUGAAAGAGGAGUCCGCGGUCGAUUAGUUAGUUGGCGGGGUAAAAGCCCACCAAGACUGUGAUCGAUAGCCGGCCUGAGAGGGCACACGGCCACACUGGCACUGAAACACGGGCCAGACUCCUACGGGAGGCAGCAGUGGGGAAUCUUGCACAAUGGGGGAAACCCUGAUGCAGCGACGCCGCGUGAGCGAUGAAGCCCUUCGGGGUGUAAAGCUCUUUCGUCGGGGAAGAUAAUGACGGUACCCGGAGAAGCAGCUGCGGCUAACUACGUGCCAGCAGCCGCGGUAAUACGUAGGCAGCAAGCGUUGUUCGGAGUUACUGGGCGUAAAGGGUGCGUAGGCGGCUAUUUAAGUUUGGUGUGAAAUCUCCCGGCUCAACUGGGAGGGUGCGCCGAAUACUGAGUGGCUAGAGUGCGGGAGAGGAAAGUGGAAUUCCUGGUGUAGCGGUGAAAUGCGUAGAUAUCAGGAGGAACACCGGUGGUGUAAACGGCUUUCUGGACCGUAACUGACGCUGAGGCACGAAAGCGUGGGUAGCAAACAGGAUUAGAUACCCUAGUAGUCC
This 752-nucleotide ribosomal RNA is filed under the name uncultured bacterium. Its description in RNAcentral is "bacterial SSU rRNA". It matches the Rfam family "Bacterial small subunit ribosomal RNA", at positions 8 to 796 of the family's 1533-position model. The record is from RNAcentral.